This 71-nucleotide transfer RNA is filed under the name Cordylochernes scorpioides. Its description in RNAcentral is "tRNA-Ser". Lineage: Eukaryota; Metazoa; Arthropoda; Arachnida; Pseudoscorpiones; Chernetidae. The record is from RNAcentral.
UGCAUCGGCUGGGAAUCGAACCCGGGGCGCUCGCGUAGCAGGCGAGCAUUCUACCACUGAACCACCGAUUC